AUAAAUACAUAUUUAAAAAUCUGAAUAUUAAAUUAACGUAAGCUCCACAACACCAGACGACAUCUCCUCCAGCCAACACCUCCACAUGCUGAUGACACCCGUGUGUCCGUCUCUGGUCACAAUCGAAGGCCCCUCUAAAAAACGAGCGUUCCUUUGAGCGUUGGCACGCUGCCGUUCUGCAGGUUGAACAUUCAGACGUCUGAUUCCCCUCAGAGACCCUGAACGCAUCGUGUUGCUACCGGAUGGCUCACAGAUCCGUGACGUGCGAGUGGAGUCGGGAGUCGAACAGCCGAGUCGGACGCCUCGCUCAUCUUCAGCAGUGAAGAUACAAUCAUAUACAGAUACAAUCUUCACCCCGGCCUCCGUCCUCAGCGUAACGGCCCGGAUCAGGGACUACGUGGUGGGGCAGGGGGUCCGGUCUGGACCUCAUGCCGUGGUCCUUUAUGACGCAGUCAAACCCCCUCGGCCUGUAUUAAGUCUACGUGGCUCCGCUGAGGACUCGUUCCAGGACUCCGGAACAGCAGCCUGUCAGCUCCGAGUCCACAGCACUCCCAUGUGGACCCAGGCAUCAGACUCGGUCCCUGCUCAUCGAGAUCAGACCCUGAACUACACAAUCAAAGACCUCCUGGAGUCCACCAUCUACAGAGCGGCUGUGUUCUGCAGAGAGGAGACCGGCAUCUGGAGCGAUGACGUCAGCGCGAGGACGCUGGACAACUCUCUGGCGCCCUCUUGGCCUCCAGAGGUGUUUCAGAGUGGAGAAAACUGACUGGGGGUCUUUUCACCAUCAUCUCAUGUGGAAGAUCGUAUCCUUGGAUACCGGGUGAGUUACGAGCCGCCGAACAAGAAGAAGAAGAAAGAGCUCCUGGUGGUGGAGGAGGGGAACGCGGCCUUGGCUUCAAACCCUGCCGUGCACGUCUCAGCAUUGACCCGCAAGGACAGACCAGUGAGUGGCACGCUGCCGUUUGUCCCAUCCAGGCACCGGUAACUACUCACGGGGUCGUGCCCUAAGGGUGUGUUGAGGCUCACCGAGAAGCAGAGGAAUUCCCAGCAGCACUGAGUUCUGCAAAAAAGUGUCACAAUAUGUUUAUCCAUCAAAUGUGCCGAUCAUGUUCGUCCACUUUUGAACUGAUGCUAUCGGGUUUAACUUGUGCAACGUCCCGGGCUUCACGAUGUUCAGAUAAAACUUAUUGCAACACGUCAGAAGUUCUCGUUCAAGUUUCAAGUGUUUAGUUUGAUGAAUACGCUCAUGUUGGGUCAGAGGUAGAGACUUUAAUAAUGGUGAUGGUGAUGGUGGUAAUGAUGGUGAGGGUGGUGGUGGUAAUAAUGGUGUUGGUGGUAAUGAUGGUGAGGGUGA
Long non-coding RNA from Cyclopterus lumpus (lumpfish), 1354 nucleotides. RefSeq lists it as uncharacterized. The record is from RefSeq and is a predicted model, not a curated record. NCBI's taxonomy places the organism in Eukaryota, Metazoa, Chordata, Actinopteri, Perciformes, Cyclopteridae. The transcript is spliced from 6 exons.